GACGAACGCUGGCGGCGUGCUUAACACAUGCAAGUCGAACGGAAAGGCCUGCUUUCCCUUGUGGAUUGCGGGUACUCGAGUGGCGAACGGGUGAGUAACACGUGAGUGAUCUGCCCCCAACUCGGGUAUAAGCCUGGGAAACUGGGUCUAAUUCCCGAUAGGACUGCAGGGUGGUGCCUGUGGUGGAAAACGAUUUUCUAGUGGUUGGGGAUGAGCUCGCGGCCUAUCAGCUUGUUGGUGGGGUAAUGGCCUACCAAGGCGGCGACGGGUAGCCGGCCUGGGAGGGUGGACGGGCGCAUUGGGACUGGGAUACGGCCCAGACUGCUACGGGAGGCAGCAGAGGGGAGUAUUGGACAGUGGGCGGAAGCCUGAUGCAGCGACGCCGCGUGGGGGAUGACGGCCUUCGGGUUGUAAACUCCUUUCGACCGCGAGGAAGCCACCUGGUUGGAAGGGUGGUGACGGUAGUGGUAGAAGAAGCACCGGCUAACUACGUG
This 494-nucleotide ribosomal RNA is filed under the name uncultured bacterium. RNAcentral describes it as "partial 16S ribosomal RNA". It matches the Rfam family "Bacterial small subunit ribosomal RNA", at positions 28 to 507 of the family's 1533-position model. The record is from RNAcentral.